GACGGGUGAGUAAUGCUUAGGAAUCUGCCUAUUAGUGGGGGACAACAUCUCGAAAGGGAUGCUAAUACCGCAUACGUCCUACGGGAGAAAGCAGGGGAUCUUCGGACCUUGCGCUAAUAGAUGAGCCUAAGUCGGAUUAGCUAGUUGGUGGGGUAAAGGCCUACCAAGGCGACGAUCUGUAGCGGGUCUGAGAGGAUGAUCCGCCACACUGGGACUGAGACACGGCCCAGACUCCUACGGGAGGCAGCAGUGGGGAAUAUUGGACAAUGGGGGGAACCCUGAUCCAGCCAUGCCGCGUGUGUGAAGAAGGCCUUAUGGUUGUAAAGCACUUUAAGCGAGGAGGAGGCUACUUUAGUUAAUACCUAGAGAUAGUGGACGUUACUCGCAGAAUAAGCACCGGCUAACUCUGUGCCAGCAGCCGCGGUAAUACAGAGGGUGCGAGCGUUAAUCGGAUUUACUGGGCGUAAAGCGUGCGUAGGCGGCUUAUUAAGUCGGAUGUGAAAUCCCCGAGCUUAACUUGGGAAUUGCAUUCGAUACUGGUGAGCUAGAGUAUGG
RNAcentral lists this ribosomal RNA (555 nucleotides) under Acinetobacter baumannii. Its description in RNAcentral is "bacterial SSU rRNA". It matches the Rfam family "Bacterial small subunit ribosomal RNA", at positions 100 to 651 of the family's 1533-position model. The record is from RNAcentral. Lineage: Bacteria; Pseudomonadati; Pseudomonadota; Gammaproteobacteria; Moraxellales; Moraxellaceae.